This 996-nucleotide ribosomal RNA is filed under the name Pseudomonas sp. enrichment culture clone VSS6. Its description in RNAcentral is "bacterial SSU rRNA". It matches the Rfam family "Bacterial small subunit ribosomal RNA", at positions 89 to 1099 of the family's 1533-position model. The record is from RNAcentral. Lineage: Bacteria; Pseudomonadati; Pseudomonadota; Gammaproteobacteria; Pseudomonadales; Pseudomonadaceae.
CGCCUAAAGGGGAAAUGCUGGCCUGGGUAUUUGGGGGAUAACGUCCCGGAAGGGGGAAAGGAAUACCGCAUACGUCCUGAGGGAGAAAGUGGGGGAUCUUCGGACCUCACGCUAUCAGAUGAGCCUAGGUCGGAUUAGCUAGUUGGUGGGGUAAAGGCCUACCAAGGCGACGAUCCGUAACUGGUCUGAGAGGAUGAUCAGUCACACUGGAACUGAGACACGGUCCAGACUCCUACGGGAGGCAGCAGUGGGGAAUAUUGGACAAUGGGCGAAAGCCUGAUCCAGCCAUGCCGCGUGUGUGAAGAAGGUCUUCGGAUUGUAAAGCACUUUAAGUUGGGAGGAAGGGCAGUAAGUUAAUACCUUGCUGUUUUGACGUUACCAACAGAAUAAGCACCGGCUAACUUCGUGCCAGCAGCCGCGGUAAUACGAAGGGUGCAAGCGUUAAUCGGAAUUACUGGGCGUAAAGCGCGCGUAGGUGGUUCAGCAAGUUGGAUGUGAAAUCCCCGGGCUCAACCUGGGAACUGCAUCCAAAACUACUGAGCUAGAGUACGGUAGAGGGUGGUGGAAUUUCCUGUGUAGCGGUGAAAUGCGUAGAUAUAGGAAGGAACACCAGUGGCGAAGGCGACCACCUGGACUGAUACUGACACUGAGGGUGCGAAAGCGUGGGGAGCAAACAGGAUUAGAUACCCUGGUAGUCCACGCCGUAAACGAUGUCACUAGCCGUUGGGAUCCUUGAGAUCUUAGUGGCGCACUAACGCAAUAAGUCGACCGCCUGGGGAGUACGGCCGCAAGGUUAAAAACUCAAAUGAAUUGACGGGGCCCGCACAAGCGGUGGAGCAUGUGGUUUAAUUCUAACACCGAAGAACCUUACCUGGCCUGACAUGCUGAAGAACUUUCAAGAGAGGGAGUGGUGCCUUCGGGAACUCAGACCCAGUCCUGCAGGCUUGUCGUCACCUCCUGUUCGUGAAAUGUUGGGUAAGUCCCGUAAACCAGACC